AUCUCUUCGAGUUAUUAGAUUGAUUAUGUCGUGAUCGAAUAUAUGUAUAUCUUCGGACUUUUGCUCGGUCGAAUAUUACUUGAGCUGAUAUUGAAUUGCGGUGAUAUCGCGAAGCAACAAUCGUUCUAGGUUUUUGACUAACGUUGCGGUAACGUAAAUCGCCACGACGUGACUCGAACCGAGGACUCAGCUUACGCAACUUAGUCGCGCAAAUGACCGUUUUUUUCCGUGAUUCCAUGCCUCGCGUCGUCAGGAUCGACGAUGAUGACGCAUGAGAUACUCGUCAAGAGAAUCGGGAAAAUGUCGUUGGCGUCAUCCACAUUGCCGUUUAUCAUCUUUCGCAAAUCCCCCUCACCCAUGAUGAUGAUGUCAUUGACUUCAUCGAUAGAGUUUUAUGAACGAGAUGGGAGAGGAUAUUUUAAUUUCGUCGGGAUCUUUAAUACAGAGACAUGUUAUGAGUGUAGUCUCACUACUUUUCAAACAUUUCAUUGUUGAAAUUAUUAUUGUAUCCGCGCGACUGAGACGUACCUUCGAUGCUAUAUCCAGUUGCCGCUUAACCCUAUUUAUAACAGUAUAAUCGAGACGUUACGUUAUCCCGUUAAAAAUAGCAGCACUGCUCUAUCACGGAUAAGGCGCUUGCCGAGCGAUAAAUCCGAUAACAGACGUCAAGGAAAUGAGCUUGAGUUUGAUAAUGCCAUCGGCAUACAUUUAUAACCGUCCAACUGUUCAAUGACGCAGUUCAGUGAUGCAGAUUCAUCUCGGCACAUUUUAAGCUACAGGUAAGGUGUAUGACCCAAAUAUUGUCAGUCGAUCGAUUUGUGCGUAUUUGUGCGAUAGCAGAAGACUAUUGGGAUUCGAUUUGCUUGAAUUGAAUCGAUUUUAUCCACUUGUACAAUCUAACGAAUAGUCAAAUACGCAUGUAAUCGUUUCGAGUUUACAAUUUUUACUUAAAUUCUAUCAUUCUUGAAUAUUCUUAGAAUAAUAUUUCCCGAAGAUCCCUGGAGAUUCCGGAACAGAUUUUUCGAGAAACAUUGAGCUCUUUUCACUAUUAAUAAUGAUAUAAAUUGCUCGUCUAGGUGCUUAACUGAAUUGUAGGAGUUAUGAAAACAAUAUCAAUACACAGAACAAUGAAUUCACGAAGUACAUUAUUGUGUGUAUGAUAAAUACCAAUCGAUGAUGAGAAAGAAAGAAUUGAAAGAAGACAUUUAAAAGACCCUGACAUUAUUUAGAAAUCUUUAAAAAAAUUCAUCGAUCUAAUAUUAGCUUGAUUGAUAUAUUGCUAAACUUUAAAUAUAUUAAAUUAAAAUGACAUUAUGAAAAGUGAAA
Long non-coding RNA from Pogonomyrmex barbatus (red harvester ant), 1326 nucleotides. RefSeq lists it as uncharacterized. NCBI's taxonomy places the organism in Eukaryota, Metazoa, Arthropoda, Insecta, Hymenoptera, Formicidae. The record is from RefSeq and is a predicted model, not a curated record.